GCUGGGUGUGGUGGCGCAUGCCUGUAAUCCUGGCUACUCGGGAGGCUGAGGCAGGAGAAUUGCUUGAACCCAGGAGGUGGAGGUUGUGGUGAGCCAAGAGAUGCGCCACUGCCCUCCAGCCUGGGCAACAGAGCAAGACUCUGCCUCAA
This 149-nucleotide non-coding RNA is filed under the name Nomascus leucogenys (northern white-cheeked gibbon). Lineage: Eukaryota; Metazoa; Chordata; Mammalia; Primates; Hylobatidae. The record is from Rfam by way of RNAcentral.